This 74-nucleotide transfer RNA is filed under the name Candidatus Woesebacteria bacterium. RNAcentral describes it as "tRNA-Arg". It matches the Rfam family "tRNA". Rfam says of the family: Transfer RNA (tRNA) molecules are approximately 80 nucleotides in length. Their secondary structure includes four short double-helical elements and three loops (D, anti-codon, and T loops). Further hydrogen bonds mediate the characteristic L-shaped molecular structure. tRNAs have two regions of fundamental functional importance: the anti-codon, which is responsible for specific mRNA codon recognition, and the 3' end, to which the tRNAs corresponding amino acid is attached (by aminoacyl-tRNA synthetases). tRNAs cope with the degeneracy of the genetic code in two manners: having more than one tRNA (with a specific anti-codon) for a particular amino acid; and 'wobble' base-pairing, i.e. permitting non-standard base-pairing at the 3rd anti-codon position. RNAcentral also lists the same sequence under 2 other names. The record is from RNAcentral. Lineage: Bacteria; Candidatus Woeseibacteriota.
GUCUUCGUAGCUUAAUCGGAUAGAGCAUCAGAUUGCGGAUCUGAAGGUUGCGCGUUCGAGUCGCGCCGAGGACA